GAUCCCAUCAGAACUCCGCAGUUAAGCGUGCUUGGGCGAGAGUAGUACUAGGAUGGGUGACCUCCUGGGAAGUCCUCGUGUUGCACCUC
Molecule: ribosomal RNA, 89 nt
Filed under: Enterococcus faecalis
Lineage: Bacteria; Bacillati; Bacillota; Bacilli; Lactobacillales; Enterococcaceae
Source: RNAcentral